RNAcentral lists this ribosomal RNA (498 nucleotides) under uncultured bacterium. Its description in RNAcentral is "partial 16S ribosomal RNA". It matches the Rfam family "Bacterial small subunit ribosomal RNA", at positions 30 to 523 of the family's 1533-position model. The record is from RNAcentral.
AUUGAACGCUGGCGGCAUGCCUUACACAUGCAAGUCGAACGGUAACAGGUCUUCGGAUGCUGACGAGUGGCGAACGGGUGAGUAAUACAUCGGAACGUGCCUAGUGGUGGGGGAUAACUACUCGAAAGAGUGGCUAAUACCGCAUGAGAUCUACGGAUGAAAGCAGGGGAUCGCAAGACCUUGUGCUAUUAGAGCGGCCGAUGGCAGAUUAGGUAGUUGGUGGGAUAACAGCUUACCAAGCCGACGAUCUGUAGCUGGUCUGAGAGGACGAUCAGCCACACUGGGACUGAGACACGGCCCAGACUCCUACGGGAGGCAGCAGUGGGGAAUUUUGGACAAUGGGCGAAAGCCUGAUCCAGCAAUGCCGCGUGCAGGAUGAAGGCCUUCGGGUUGUAAACUGCUUUUGUACGGAACGAAAAGCCCCGGGUUAAUACCCUGGGGUCAUGACGGUACCGUAAGAAUAAGCACCGGCUAACUACGUGCCAGCCGCCGCCGUAA